RNAcentral lists this ribosomal RNA (208 nucleotides) under uncultured bacterium. RNAcentral's name for it is "partial 16S ribosomal RNA". It matches the Rfam family "Bacterial small subunit ribosomal RNA", at positions 568 to 774 of the family's 1533-position model. The record is from RNAcentral.
CACGCAGGCGGAUCGUUAAGUCAGGGGUGAAAUCCCGAGGCUCAACCUCGGAACUGCCUUUGAUACUGGCGAUCUUUGAGUCCGGGGGAGGUGAGUGGAACUCCGAGUGUAGAGGUGAAAUUCGUAGAUAUUCGGAAGAACACCAGUGGCGAAGGCGGCUCACUGGCCCGGUACUGACGCUCAUGUGCGAAAGCGUGGGGAGCAAACA